Molecule: ribosomal RNA, 253 nt
Filed under: uncultured bacterium
Lineage: Bacteria
Description: partial 16S ribosomal RNA
Rfam family: Bacterial small subunit ribosomal RNA
Source: RNAcentral
UACAGAGGUGGCAAGCGUUGUUCGGAAUCAUUGGGCGUAAAGCGCGUGUAGGCGGCCCGGUAAGUCCGCUGUGAAAGUCGGGGGCUCAACCCUCGAAUGCCGGUGGAUACUGUCGGGCUAGAGUGCGGGAGAGGCGAGUGGAAUUCCUGGUGUAGCGGUGAAAUGCGCAGAUAUCAGGAGGAACACCAAUUGCGAAGGCAGCUCGCUGGAACGUAACUGACGCUGAGACGCGAAAGCGUGGGGAGCAAACAGG